Molecule: ribosomal RNA, 166 nt
Filed under: uncultured bacterium
Lineage: Bacteria
Description: partial 16S ribosomal RNA
Rfam family: Bacterial small subunit ribosomal RNA
Source: RNAcentral
GCUAGUAAUGGCAGGUCAGCAUACUGCCGUGAAUACGUUCCCGGGCCUUGUACACACCGCCCGUCACACCAUGAGAGUUGGGAAUACCCGAAGCCUGUGAGCUAACUUUUAGAGGCAGCAGUCGAAGGUAGAAUCAAUGAUUGGGGUGAAGUCGUAACAAGGUACC